CCCGCUGAACUUAAGCAUAUCAUUAAGCGGAGGAAAAGAAACUAACAAGGAUGCCCUCAGUAACGGCGAGUGAAGCGGGCAGAGCUCAAACUGAAAAUCGGGGCUCCAUGCGGGGUUUCGAAUUGUAGUCUAUAGACGCGCUAUCAGCGAUGAACCGGGUAUAAAUCUUUUGAAACAAGGUGUCAUAGAGGGUGAGAACCCCGUCUUUGACUCGGAGCUCAUUGCGUACGAUGCGUGUUCAAAGAGUCGAGUUGCUUGGGAUUGCAGCUCUAAGUGGGUGGUAAAUUUCAUCUAAAGCUAAAUAUUGACGAGAGACCGAUAGCGAACAAGUACCGUGAGGGAAAGAUGAAAAGAACUUUGAAAAGAGAGUUAAAAAGUACUUGAAAUUGUUAAGAGGGAAGCACUGGAAACCAGUAUUGCCGGUUGCUGUACUCGCCUAUCUGCGGGUUGGAGGCUGCGUGCCGGGAGUUCAAACCUCGGUUGCGUAGUUGAAGGCUCGUGGGUGGGUUCAGCAGUGAUUGGUGGGUCAAAAUCAAUUCGACUCGCGGGAGAAAGCUAUCUGGAAGAUAGGGUCGAGGGGCAACCUAAGACCUGUUAUAGACAGGUAGUGCUACCGUGGGUUGGAUUGAGGAACAAAUGCGCACCACUAGGUUUCAGUUCCCCGACCCUGGGGUGUGAUCGGCGUUGGAUAGCAAAGCUAUGCGCGUUGAGUAAUGCUCUACUGGAAGGGAUGAACUAGAUGCAGCAUUCGAGAUUUUGACGAAAUGGUUUUCAUUGACCCGUCUUGAAACACGG
This 795-nucleotide ribosomal RNA is filed under the name uncultured fungus. RNAcentral's name for it is "eukaryotic LSU rRNA". It matches the Rfam family "Eukaryotic large subunit ribosomal RNA", at positions 24 to 664 of the family's 3401-position model. Lineage: Eukaryota; Fungi. The record is from RNAcentral.